UUAAGAGACCUCCGUAGGUGUUGCUGUCUCGUGUGUGACAAAGACUGGAUGACGAGAGACUUCUUGUUGAGGUGGAGAAAUAUAUCCCGAGCUAAACGACCCACAGUGACGUCAUUAUAACGCCAAUGGCCAAAACGUUAUUACCUGUAAACAGGAUAGAAAGGCGUCUCCAACCACCACUGACCCACACUUGUUUGAACAAUCUGACUUUACUGGAUUACGAUGAAAUCAUCUCCAUGGUCAAGACACCCUGUCUGCGCUUGUGAUGUAAUCUGCAGCGUCUCCCCCACAAGCCACCCAUGUGAGGUGUAACAACUUUAAAAGGCAGAGCAGCCCCAGUUUGUUCUGUUCCAACAUCACCAAGAUGCAGGAAAACUUUCCACUCGGAAUGUUUCCUGGGGGCAACGGCUAUCUGCAAGGCUGCAUGACACUUGAAAUGCUUCCUGGAGAGGAGGAGUGAAAGUGCAGGCAGUGUCGCUUCUUAUGGGUUCCCCUCAUGUCGCCAGACAACUUGGACCAAAAUUCACAAAAACCAUCUCAUCAUCACUACAGAAAUAUGAGAUCAUCGGGCAGCCAGCCAGCACAAUGACAGGAAAUACAAUGCCUGUGGUUGUAUGGCUGUUGCAGGCGAACUAGCUUCAGUCUGCACCAGAGACAGACACCGGCUCGCAGCAGUGACCCCCGAAACGAGCCGAAGCCAGACAAUGAUUCCCCUCUGGGAUGGAGAGCUGGAGAAGUGGG
Epinephelus fuscoguttatus (brown-marbled grouper) is the source of this 741-nucleotide long non-coding RNA. RefSeq lists it as uncharacterized. The transcript has 6 exons. The record is from RefSeq and is a predicted model, not a curated record. NCBI's taxonomy places the organism in Eukaryota, Metazoa, Chordata, Actinopteri, Perciformes, Serranidae.